GACGAACGCUGGCGGCGUGCCUAAUACAUGCAAGUUGAGCGCUGAAGGUUGGUACUUGUACCGACUGGAUGAGCAGCGAACGGGUGAGUAACGCGUGGGGAAUCUGCCUUUGAGCGGGGGACAACAUUUGGAAACGAAUGCUAAUACCGCAUAAAAACUUUAAACACAAGUUUUAAGUUUGAAAGAUGCAAUUGCAUCACUCAAAGAUGAUCCCGCGUUGUAUUAGCUAGUUGGUGAGGUAAAGGCUCACCAAGGCGAUGAUACAUAGCCGACCUGAGAGGGUGGGCGGCCACAUUGGGACGGGGACACGGCCCAAACGCCUACGGGAGGCAGCAGUAGGGAAACUUCGGCAAGGGGCGAAAGUCUGACCGAGCAACGCCGCGGGAGUGAAGAAGGUUUUCGGAUCGUAAAACUCGGUUGGUAGAGAAGAACGUUGGUGAGAGUGGAAAGCUCAUCAAGUGACGGUAACUACCCAGAAAGGGACGGCUAACUACGUG
Molecule: ribosomal RNA, 497 nt
Filed under: uncultured bacterium
Lineage: Bacteria
Description: partial 16S ribosomal RNA
Rfam family: Bacterial small subunit ribosomal RNA
Source: RNAcentral